GGGCCCGUGGCGCAGUACGGAUAGUUAAGACCCAUAAAGCGCGGCAGCCCCCUAAGCUGUAGGUCGUGGGUUCAAAUCCCACCGGGCCCG
Molecule: transfer RNA, 90 nt
Filed under: Nitrososphaerota archaeon
Lineage: Archaea; Thermoproteati; Nitrososphaerota
Description: Thaumarchaeota archaeon tRNA-Arg
Rfam family: tRNA
About the family: Transfer RNA (tRNA) molecules are approximately 80 nucleotides in length. Their secondary structure includes four short double-helical elements and three loops (D, anti-codon, and T loops).
Source: RNAcentral